Meriones unguiculatus (Mongolian gerbil) is the source of this 972-nucleotide long non-coding RNA. RefSeq lists it as uncharacterized. The record is from RefSeq and is a predicted model, not a curated record. The transcript is spliced from 3 exons. NCBI's taxonomy places the organism in Eukaryota, Metazoa, Chordata, Mammalia, Rodentia, Muridae.
CCAGACCGGAAGUUCUCCCCGCCCAAUUAUGGGCUUGCUGGUGGGGUCACGCGCAGAAGCUUGGUUCUGAUUGGUUGCCUCUGUAAUUUGUCCACUUCUGCGCUCUGAGAAGUUGCAGGUGGAAGUGGGCCCGAGAUGCUCUACAACCCCUGGCACCUGUGCACCGGGCCAGCGGAGCUCUCACCCAGGUGACAUGUGUCAGACCGGACUACUCCAAGCCAUCUCAUCUGUGUCCUUCCUGCUGCCACCAACACGGACUUCACUGGUUACCUUCAAGGGAAUGAAUCCACGAGUGUGAGACAGAAGUGCACAGCCCAACCAGCCCCGUGUCCCCUGCCCAGCUCAGUGUUUCACCUCAUUUGGCAGUCAACACAAGGAUAACCAGUGUGGGCGUGGUCCUGCCAGACUGUCCAGUACGCCAGGAACCACAGCCUGUACACGAGCGGCCCUAGGUUUGCGGCACACACCGGGUGCCUACUGCCCACAGCGCAGUUUGGGUGUCCCACUUAACGCACAGGGAUCAGGUCUAGCCCCUACCAGCACCAAGGGCAGCCAGGGAAGCAGGCUCUUAUCUGAAGCAGCCCCACACCAUACUGAGCUGGAGUGGAGUCUAGCAGGGGCUGGUCUGGACCCCCAAGCUGACUCUCUGACAUACAGUGCCCACUCAGGGUACAUAGACACACACACACACACAAAAACAACAAACAAACAAACAAACAAAAAACAAAACAAAAAACAAAAAAAAACCCCACAAAAAACCAAAAACAACAACAAAAAACCAAAACAAACCAAACCAACAAACAAAAACAAAACAAAACAAAAAAACUGACUUCUUUGUCCUCAUAGAUUUAAGGCUUGUAUUUCCUGAUAGUUGCUUCAGUUUGUUUUUUCUUUGAUGUCAAAAUUACCUGAGUAAAAAACUUUUUGACAUUAAAAAACAAAACAAAACCAAAAUCAAAACAAACCACAGAC